RNAcentral lists this ribosomal RNA (466 nucleotides) under uncultured bacterium. Its description in RNAcentral is "partial 16S ribosomal RNA". It matches the Rfam family "Bacterial small subunit ribosomal RNA", at positions 28 to 507 of the family's 1533-position model. The record is from RNAcentral.
GAUGAACGCUGGCGGCGUGCUUAACACAUGCAAGUCGAACGAUGAAGCCCAGCUUGCUGGGGGGAUUGGUGGCGAACGGGGGAGUAACACGUGAGUAACCUGCCCUUGACUCUGGGAUAAGCCUGGGAAACUGGGGCUAAUACUGGAUAUGACUUCUCAUCGCAUGGGGGGGGGGGGAAAGAUUUAUUGGUCUUGGAUGGACUCGCGGCCUAUCAGCUUGUUGGUGAGGUAAUGGCUCACCAAGGCGACGACGGGUAGCCGGCCUGAGAGGGUGACCGGCCACACUGGGACUGAGACACGGCCCAGACUCCUACGGGAGGCAGCAGUGGGGAAUAUUGCACAAUGGGCGCAAGCCUGGUGCAGCGACGCCGCGUGAGGGAUGACGGCCUUCGGGUUGUAAACCUCUUUCAGUAGGGAAGAAGCGAGAGUGACGGUACCUGCAGAAGAAGCGCCGGCUAACUACGUG